This 346-nucleotide ribosomal RNA is filed under the name Cryptolepas rhachianecti. RNAcentral describes it as "partial 12S rRNA". The record is from RNAcentral. Lineage: Eukaryota; Metazoa; Arthropoda; Thecostraca; Balanomorpha; Coronulidae.
UAGAUACCCUGUUACUCUAUUUAACAAACUUUGGAUUAGUAUUAAUAAAGAAAUUUAACGGAUUUGGCGGCAAGAUAGCUUUUUAGAGGAACCUGCCCUGUAAACGAUGAACCACGAAAACCUUACUCAUUCUAGUAAUCAGUUUGUAUACCGCUGUUGUCAGUCAGAUCUGAAAAGAUAUUUUCUUAUUGAAAAAGUCAAGGACUUCAAGUAAAGGUGCAGCUUAUGGAGGAGAAAGAGGUGGGUUACAAUAAACUGAAUUACACGGAAAAAGUUAAGAAUAGACUUUUUUAAGGUGGAUUUAACUGUAAGAUUUAAAAAGAUCUGGUGAUAGCUCUAUCUUGUG